UACGAAGGGGGCUAGCGUUGCUCGGAAUCACUGGGCGUAAAGCGCACGUAGGCGGAUUCUUAAGUCAGGGGUGAAAUCCUGGAGCUUAACUCCAGAACUGCCUUUGAUACUGAGAAUCUCGAGUUCGGGAGAGGUGAGUGGAACUGCGAGUGUAGAGGUGAAAUUCGUAGAUAUUCGCAAGAACACCAGUGGCGAAGGCGGCCUUCUGGACAGUGACUGACGCUGAGACGCGAAAGCGUGGGGAGCAAACAGG
This 253-nucleotide ribosomal RNA is filed under the name uncultured bacterium. Its description in RNAcentral is "partial 16S ribosomal RNA". It matches the Rfam family "Bacterial small subunit ribosomal RNA", at positions 524 to 776 of the family's 1533-position model. The record is from RNAcentral.